This 580-nucleotide ribosomal RNA is filed under the name uncultured cyanobacterium. RNAcentral's name for it is "bacterial SSU rRNA". It matches the Rfam family "Bacterial small subunit ribosomal RNA", at positions 802 to 1382 of the family's 1533-position model. Lineage: Bacteria; Bacillati; Cyanobacteriota. The record is from RNAcentral.
GUAAACGAUGAACACUAGGUGUCGGGGGAAUCGACCCCCUCGGUGUCGUAGCCAACGCGUUAAGUGUUCCGCCUGGGGAGUACGCACGCAAGUGUGAAACUCAAAGGAAUUGACGGGGGCCCGCACAAGCGGUGGAGUAUGUGGUUUAAUUCGAUGCAACGCGAAGAACCUUACCAGGGUUUGACAUCCUGCGAAUCUCUUGGAAACAGGAGAGUGCCUUCGGGAACGCAGUGACAGGUGGUGCAUGGCUGUCGUCAGCUCGUGUCGUGAGAUGUUGGGUUAAGUCCCGCAACGAGCGCAACCCACGUCUUUAGUUGCCAGCAUUUAGUUGGGCACUCUAGAGAGACUGCCGGUGAUAAACCGGAGGAAGGUGUGGAUGACGUCAAGUCAUCAUGCCCCUUACAUCCUGGGCUACACACGUACUACAAUGCUACGGACAAAGGGCUGCAAGUUCGCGAGGACAAGCAAAUCCCAUAAACCGUGGCUCAGUUCAGAUCGUAGGCUGCAACUCGCCUACGUGAAGGCGGAAUCGCUAGUAAUCGCAGGUCAGCAUACUGCGGUGAAUACGUUCCCGGGCCUU